GACGAACGCUGGCGGCGUGCCUAAUACAUGCAAGUUGAGCGCUGAAGGUUGGUACUUGUACCAACUGGAUGAGCAGCGAACGGGUGAGUAACGCGUGGGGAAUCUGCCUUUGAGCGGGGGACAACAUUUGGAAACGAAUGCUAAUACCGCAUAAAAACUUUAAACACAAGUUUUAAGUUUGAAAGAUGCAAUUGCAUCACUCAAAGAUGAUCCCGCGUUGUAUUAGCUAGUUGGUGAGGUAAAGGCUCACCAAGGCGAUGAUACAUAGCCGACCUGAGAGGGUGAUCGGCCAAAUUGGGACUGGGACACGGCCCAAACUCCUACGGGAGGCAGCAGUAGGGAAUCUUCGGCAAUGGACGAAAGUCUGACCGAGCAACGCCGCGUGAGGGAAGAAGGGUUUCGGAUCGUAAAACUCUGUUGGUAGAGAAGAACGUUGGUGAGAGUGGAAAGCUCAUCAAGUGACGGUAACUACCCAGAAAGGGACGGCUAACUACGUG
RNAcentral lists this ribosomal RNA (497 nucleotides) under uncultured bacterium. RNAcentral's name for it is "partial 16S ribosomal RNA". It matches the Rfam family "Bacterial small subunit ribosomal RNA", at positions 28 to 507 of the family's 1533-position model. The record is from RNAcentral.